GCAAAACCAGCUGUGAGAUGCUGGAUGGCUUAGGAAAAGAAGAAGACCCUUAUUCAUCGAGACCGCAUGUCAGGACUGAACACCCUAUUCCUCAUGAUGCAGGAGGAGAGCCUGAAUUAACAUUUAGCAGGGACUUGUUUACUGCAACAAUAUGUGAGAGGAUUAAAGAAGAACGAGAGGUCCACAUGAUUCAUUUCCAGAAACCAGAUGAAAUUAUGGAACACAGUGGUCUGAGAAAAGUAUGAUUUUUCCAAGUGAAGAUAGCUCUUUGGAGAAAGGAGAAAACUUUAUUGGCUACUAAGAUUUUUAAGUUAGGAAAAUACAGAAGCACAAUUUCCUUUG
Long non-coding RNA from Suricata suricatta (meerkat), 342 nucleotides. RefSeq lists it as uncharacterized. The transcript has 2 exons. The record is from RefSeq and is a predicted model, not a curated record. NCBI's taxonomy places the organism in Eukaryota, Metazoa, Chordata, Mammalia, Carnivora, Herpestidae.